RNAcentral lists this ribosomal RNA (253 nucleotides) under uncultured bacterium. RNAcentral describes it as "partial 16S ribosomal RNA". It matches the Rfam family "Bacterial small subunit ribosomal RNA", at positions 524 to 776 of the family's 1533-position model. The record is from RNAcentral.
UACGAAGGGGGCUAGCGUUGUUCGGAUUUACUGGGCGUAAAGCGCACGUAGGCGGAUCGAUCAGUCAGGGGUGAAAUCCCAGAGCUCAACUCUGGAACUGCCUUUGAUACAGCACAUCUGGAGUCCGGAAGAGGUGGGUGGAAUUCCUAGUGUAGAGGUGAAAUUCGUAGAUAUUAGGAAGAACACCGGUGGCGAAGGCGGCCCACUGGUCCGGUACUGACGCUGAGGUGCGAAAGCGUGGGGAGCAAACAGG